Acanthosepion pharaonis is the source of this 108-nucleotide non-coding RNA. The record is from the annotation of a GenBank genome assembly. Lineage: Eukaryota; Metazoa; Mollusca; Cephalopoda; Sepiida; Sepiidae.
GCCAUAUCAUACUCAAACACUAGUUCCCAUACAAUCACUAAAGUUAAGCAGUAUUGAGCCUGGUCAGUACCUAGAUGUAUGACCGCUUGGGAAUACCAGGUGCUGUAA